UGAAAGCUGUACUGAAUGAUGAUCCAGAAUGGGACAGUGACAUGGCUUCUCUACUUGUCCUGCUGGAUCUUCUUACUCCACAAUCAGCUGGAAGAAAGCAGCCCAAGAAGAUCAGUGUUGGAGAGGCAACAUAUCAUCUGGUGAAAUUUCAUAAGUCAUGCCAAAGUCUUGAUGAUCAUCUCCUGACCACUAAUGGAAACCCUCAACCAUAUCUUCUUGCUUCAGGGUCUUCAAAAGCACAGGUUUCCACAUUUUACAUUGUCUUGGACAGAAAAGGUUUGCCUUGUCAGUCAUGUACAUCCUUGGGUACUUUUGACUGAGCAAGUCCAAUUUUGUUUUCAGUGUGAAUGAUCAUAAUGCUCUGUCCAGCCUGUACACAUGUUUGCAGACAACUAUGUACAAAAUUGAUAUAGAUACAGCUGAAGAAACUCCAAAAGUCAAAGAACUGAGAGCAAGGCUGUUGAACAAGCAGUAAUUGUCUUAUUCAACCAAAAUGUUAAGUUGUUUCCUCUGCACUUCAUCCUUUGGUUCAGCUUUGCAUUUGU
Sinocyclocheilus grahami is the source of this 545-nucleotide long non-coding RNA. RefSeq lists it as uncharacterized. NCBI's taxonomy places the organism in Eukaryota, Metazoa, Chordata, Actinopteri, Cypriniformes, Cyprinidae. The transcript has 3 exons. The record is from RefSeq and is a predicted model, not a curated record.